AACGGCGAGUGAAGCGGCAAAAGCUCAAAUUUUAAAGCUGACAUCUUCGGUGUCCGCGUUGUAAUUUUGUGAGGCAUCUCCGGGUAGGGCGCCGGCCUAAGUUCCUUGGAACAGGACGUCACAGAGGGUGAGAAUCCCGUGCUUGGCUGGCUGUCCCCGUCCAUGUGAGGUGUCUUCGACGAGUCGAGUUGUUUGGGAAUGCAGCUCAAAAUGGGUGGUAAAUUUCAUCUAAAGCUAAAUAUUGGUGGGAGACCGAUAGCGCACAAGUAGAGUGAUCGAAAGAUGAAAAGCACUUUGAAAAUAGAGUUAAAAAGUACGUGAAAUUGUUGAAAGGGAAGCGCUUGAGACCAGACUUCGGUAAGGGGUGAUCAGCCGUCCUUUUGGGCGGUGCACUUGCCCCCCUCCGGGCCAGCAUCGGUUGAGGCGGCGGGAUAAAGGUCCCGGGAAUGUGGCUCCUUCACGGGAGUGUUAUAGCCCGGGUGAAUGCCGCCAGCUUCGACCGAGGACCGCACCCGCAAGGGUUAGGAUGCUUGGCAUAAUGGUCUUCAGCGA
This 552-nucleotide ribosomal RNA is filed under the name Morchella norvegiensis. RNAcentral describes it as "partial large subunit ribosomal RNA". It matches the Rfam family "Eukaryotic large subunit ribosomal RNA", at positions 85 to 647 of the family's 3401-position model. Lineage: Eukaryota; Fungi; Ascomycota; Pezizomycetes; Pezizales; Morchellaceae. The record is from RNAcentral.